RNAcentral lists this long non-coding RNA (1352 nucleotides) under Pan troglodytes (chimpanzee). RNAcentral's name for it is "lncRNA (ENSPTRG00000054586.1)". The record is from RNAcentral. Lineage: Eukaryota; Metazoa; Chordata; Mammalia; Primates; Hominidae.
GAAGCACUUAGGAAGCUGAUAUGAUCUGUGUUUUGCCGAAAAGGCAAAUUAAGUUAUGAAGAAAUGAACUGACUUAAUUAAGGACAAGCAGGUAUUUAGAAUAAGAAGCAGAACUAGACCUUAGACUUCCACUCCUUUCCAGAGACUUUCCAAAUGACUGCACAUUUCAAAGGUGAUUGACAAGUUCUUAAAAUUUUCAAAUUAGAUACUUUAAUGUACAUAUUUAUACCAUAAGUCUGUUUCAAACUAGGAGAACUGAUUUAUUCUAUAAUAAGCUAUCUAUUUACUACAGACCAUCUUUGUUACAGAUACUCUAUAGAGGAAAUUGAGCUGUCUCAGUUACUUACAUAUCAUUUAAAAUCAGCAGUCAUAUGAAACAAAGCAAUGGGUAUCAGUUAAAUAAAAGAGUAAAAAACAAAGGAAUUUUACAAAUAUAGUUUAUAUUAUUUUUUUCUAGCUUUCAUUAUUGUGUGUCAAGUUGUAUUCCUAAGAUAAAAUUAAUUAUUAUUAAUUUAUGAGGGACCAAAAGGGUUAUCCUCUGUUUUCAGUAAGUUGUUUAUCUUGUGUGUACAUGUGUGGCAUAAUUACAAAAAUUUAUAACCUUCUCAUAGUAAUCAUACAAACUAGAUGACCCAGAAAAAAAUGCUCUUUCAUGGUAUGCAAACACAAAUUUGUGGCUUAUUUUGAGGUAUGCUCUUGUUAGUUUCUAUUCUUUGUUAUUACGGUCCUUUAGAAGGUGUCUUUUGUCUUUCAGUCCAUCAUAAACAGAAGAUGGCAGUGGAAAUCUUUUCUAGAGAAACUGCACUAGCAGGGACUGGAAUGGAACAUGUUAGGACAAGGCAAUUUCUCAGGGAUCAAAGGUACAUCAUGGCAAACUCAUUCCUGCACUUUGGUCUCACGGUCUUUCAAAAGGAUGAUGGGGCAGAGGCCAACCAGGCCUCGCUCUCCAGGGAGAUCACUGGAGAACAAGACAAUGUGUCCACCACUCAAGCAUAUUGAGAACUGCGCUUGCGUCAAGCAUAUUGAGAGCUGCUGCUUGCGUCACACCUGCUAAUUUCCAGUGGCCAAAGCAUGUCACAUAGCUAAGCCCAAAGGUAGGAAAAUAUAUUCCACUCUGAGGAAAAGGUGGGAGGGAGUGUUUGCUGAACAAUAACCCAGUCCAACUCAAAGCAGUAAACUUUUGUAAUGGGAUAGAGUUUGUGAUUAAUAGAACAUUUUUUCUUUGAUCACCAAAACAUAGCAAAUGUAUCUUGAUAAUUCCUCUUAACUAUGUUGUUUAUUUGAUAUAAAAGAGGAAAAACUAUUAGUGGACCUGGUUGGGGAAUGGGUCACUCUAAUUACCUGAUCGUUCC